GAUGAACGCUGGCGGCGUGCCUAAUACAUGCAAGUAGAACGCUGAAGCUUGGUGCUUGCACCGAGCGGAUGAGUUGCGAACGGGUGAGUAACGAGUAGGUAACCUGCCUCUUAGCGGGGGAUAACUAUUGGAAACGAUAGCUAAUACCGCAUAACAGUCGAUAUCGCAUGAUAUUGAUUUGAAAGGUGCAAAUGCAUCACUAAGAGCUGGACCUGCGUUGUAUUAGCUAGUUGGUGAGGUAACGGCUCACCAAGGCGACGAUACAUAGCCCACCUGAGAGGGGGAUCGGCCACACUGGGACUGAGACACGGCCCAGACGCCUACGGGAGGCAGCAGUAGGGAAUCUUCGGCAAUGGGGGCAACCCUGACCGAGCAACGCCGCGGGAGUGAAGAAGGUUUUCGGAUCGUAAAGCUCGGUUGUAAGAGAAGAACGAGUGUGAGAGUGGAAAGUUCACACUGUGACGGUAACUUACCAGAAAGGGACGGCUAACUACGUG
Molecule: ribosomal RNA, 497 nt
Filed under: uncultured bacterium
Lineage: Bacteria
Description: partial 16S ribosomal RNA
Rfam family: Bacterial small subunit ribosomal RNA
Source: RNAcentral